UCCGUAGGGUGCGAGCGUUAAUCGGAAUUACUGGGCGUAAAGCGUGCGCAGGCGGCGCGUUAAGACAGGUGUGAAAGCCCCGAGCUUAACUUGGGAAUUGCGCUUGUGACUGGCGUGCUGGAGUGUGGCAGAGGGAGGUGGAAUUCCACGUGUAGCAGUGAAAUGCGUAGAGAUGUGGAGGAACACCGAUGGCGAAGGCAGCCUCCUGGGCCAGCACUGACGCUCAUGCACGAAAGCGUGGGGAGCAAACAGG
RNAcentral lists this ribosomal RNA (253 nucleotides) under uncultured bacterium. RNAcentral's name for it is "partial 16S ribosomal RNA". It matches the Rfam family "Bacterial small subunit ribosomal RNA", at positions 524 to 776 of the family's 1533-position model. The record is from RNAcentral.